CACCCCCUGCUGAGACAGCCUGGUGGGGACUGUGGUGCCCAGAGUAGGCCCUGCAGGUGGGGUCCCCGGCCCCUGGAGUGGACAACAGAGUCCCCGGGUCACCCCGACUUCAGCUGCAUGGGGGUCCUUGGUGCUCCCUCAGGAGGGAGGGCCCCUCAUGCCAGUGACCCAGAACCUCCCUCCCUCCUGAGGGAGGGAGGACGCCCCGGCAGAGGCUGUCUGUGGGAGAGGGCCGCUUGGGGAUCUCUGGCCCGGCGAGUACCAGCUGGCCAGUCUCCUGGGACUCCCACACAAGCAAGCCUGCCGAGGGGUCUCCAGAGGCCCUAGGAGGUCCCGCGUGUCCCAGCUCAGGAGAAGAGGACAGUGGGGUGGGUAGAGCUGGGCUAGGAGGAGCAUUUCUGGUUGGUGGAAGGUUCUGGAACAAGUCUGGUAGCAUCCAGCCCACUCCAGAGCAAAGCUGCUGUGGGGAGUGGGCCUGCAGAGGCGGAGGGCAGGUGCAGCAGGAGUCGCUGGGUGGAGCAGGGAGCCUCUUUCUGCAGCAGGAGGCACUCAGUGGGUGACACCGGCUGGAUUAGAGAAGUCGGCGUGGAAGCCAGUGUCUCGGGCUGAGUUCUCGGAGAGGAAAUACCAGUGAUGCUUAUACACUCACAGAGGUUCAUCUCCAGGAAACGCUCCACAUGGUUGCAGAAACUGAUCUCACCUGAACAAGAGAGUCCAUUCCGAAUAGUCUACAAUGAAGAAAAGGAGUCAGGGACCUUCGUGAUUUCCAAAGCAGUGAAAAACUGGCUUUCCGCCGUCCUCCUUUAAGCAGCACCUCUCUCCUAGCACCUCUCUCCUCGGUGGUGCUUGAUCCUGGUAAGGGCUGUAGCUCAACAAUGAACCACUGAAGCGAG
Echinops telfairi (small Madagascar hedgehog) is the source of this 893-nucleotide long non-coding RNA. RefSeq lists it as uncharacterized. The transcript has 3 exons. The record is from RefSeq and is a predicted model, not a curated record. NCBI's taxonomy places the organism in Eukaryota, Metazoa, Chordata, Mammalia, Afrosoricida, Tenrecidae.